RNAcentral lists this ribosomal RNA (545 nucleotides) under uncultured bacterium. Its description in RNAcentral is "partial 16S ribosomal RNA". It matches the Rfam family "Bacterial small subunit ribosomal RNA", at positions 34 to 626 of the family's 1533-position model. The record is from RNAcentral.
CGCUGGCGGCNGGCUUANCNCAUGCAAGUCGAGCGAAGCCUUCGGGCUUAGCGGCGGACGGGUGAGUAACGCGUGGGAACGUGCCCUUCACUACGGAAUAGUCCCUGGAAACGGGGUUUAAUACCGUAUACGCCCUUCGGGGGAAAGAUUUAUCGGUGAAGGAUCGGCCCGCGUCUGAUUAGGUAGUUGGUGGGGUAAUGGCCUACCAAGCCGACGAUCAGUAGCUGGUUUGAGAGGAUGAUCAGCCACACUGGGACUGAGACACGGCCCAGACUCCUACGGGAGACAGCAGUGAGGAAUCUUGGACAAUGGGGGCAACCCUGAUCCAGCCAUGCCGCGUGAACGAUGAAGGCCUUAGGGUUGUAAAGUUCUUUCACCGGANAANAUAAUGACGGUAUCCGGAGAAGAAACCCCGGCUAACUCCGUGCCAGCAGCCGCGGUAAUACGGAGGGGGUUAGCGUUGUUCGGAAUUACUGGGCGUAAAGGGUGCNUNGCNAANCUUAANUCUGAUGUGAAAGCCCCNGGCNUUAACCUGGGAAUGGCAU